RNAcentral lists this unclassified non-coding RNA (258 nucleotides) under Hevea brasiliensis (rubber tree). Lineage: Eukaryota; Viridiplantae; Streptophyta; Magnoliopsida; Malpighiales; Euphorbiaceae. The record is from RNAcentral.
AUUCAAGUCGCUGGUGAUGGAGACUUUGAGAUCGUUACGUCGAAGGUCGCCAGAGAUCAAGUCACGAUGUGGCCUAGAUGGGGUGUUUUUCUGCAUAACGUAUGUUGAAGGUAGGGAACCCGUUUGAGGAAGAGAAAUCCCAUCUUUUGACAGGCUGGUUGUAUCGGUUGUUCCUAACUUCUCUGAGAAUACCCCAGAAGUCGAAAUCUCUGAUGUACCAUAAUUGAAGUAUUCAAGAAUGAUAUUGCAGGCCUCCCA